ACAAACUUGGUCAUUUAGAGGAAGUAAAAGUCGUAACAAGGUCUCCGUAGGUGAACCUGCGGAGGGAUCAUUAACACUUUUUAAAAAAAAACAAACAAAAACAAACCGGUAACCCCCCAUUCUUUUUCUUUUGUUCACUCAACGUGAAAAAGGUAGAAAGAAUGUAUUUCUACUAUUCGAACUAAUCUGUUUCUUUAUCGAAAAGUGGGUAAGGCCUUUUUUUUUAUAAGAAAACCUUACCUUUUUUUUUAGAUACUGGACAACAAAAAUUUAACAUAAGCACAACUCUUAACAAUGGAUAUCUAGGCUCUCGCAUCGAUGAAGAACGCAGC
RNAcentral lists this unclassified non-coding RNA (332 nucleotides) under uncultured fungus. RNAcentral describes it as "partial contains small subunit ribosomal RNA, internal transcribed spacer 1, and 5.8S ribosomal RNA". The stretch from base 1 to 73 matches the Rfam family "Eukaryotic small subunit ribosomal RNA", at positions 1759 to 1831 of the family's 1831-position model. Lineage: Eukaryota; Fungi. The record is from RNAcentral.